This 520-nucleotide ribosomal RNA is filed under the name uncultured Glomus. Its description in RNAcentral is "SSU rRNA". It matches the Rfam family "Eukaryotic small subunit ribosomal RNA", at positions 569 to 1095 of the family's 1831-position model. The record is from RNAcentral. Lineage: Eukaryota; Fungi; Glomeromycota; Glomeromycetes; Glomerales; Glomeraceae.
AGCAGCCGCGGUAAUUCCAGCUCCAAUAGCGUAUAUUAAAGUUGUUGCAGUUAAAAAGCUCGUAGUUGAAUUUCGGGGUUAGUAGGUUGGUCAUGCCUCUGGCAUGUACUGGUCUCACUGAUUCCUCCUUCCUGAUGAACCGUAAUGCCAUUAAUUUGGUGUUGCGGGGAAUUUGGACUGUUACUUUGAAAAAAUUGAGUGUUUAAAGCAGGCUAACGCUUGAAUACAUUAGCAUGGAAUAAUGAAAUAGGACGUUCGGUCUUAUUUUGUUGGUUUCUAAGAUUGACGUAAUGAUUAAUAGGGAUAGUUGGGGGCAUUAGUAUUCAAUUGUCAGAGGUGAAAUUCUUGGAUUUAUUGAAGACUAACUACUGCGAAAGCAUUUGCCAAGGAUGUUUUCAUUAAUCAAGAACGAAAGUUAGGGAUCGAAGACGAUCAGAUACCGUCGUAGUCUUAACCAUAAACUAUGCCGACUAGGGAUCGGAUGAUGUUAAUUUUUAUGUAUCAUUCGCGCCUUACGGGA